Non-coding RNA from Macaca mulatta (Rhesus monkey), 154 nucleotides. The record is from RefSeq and is a predicted model, not a curated record. NCBI's taxonomy places the organism in Eukaryota, Metazoa, Chordata, Mammalia, Primates, Cercopithecidae.
UUCAAGCAGCCUGGAAGCUCUCCCAGCUCACGUAGUUCUGGAAUUUUUAUGGACGUCAUCAUUUAGUUUAUUGCCUAGGAAUCAUCCCAGUGUCCAGUACUUGGAGUUGCCGCCCUGGUCCUGACCACUGCAUCAGGCAGAAUUUCCGAGGAGG